Molecule: long non-coding RNA, 202 nt
Filed under: Elaeis guineensis (African oil palm)
Lineage: Eukaryota; Viridiplantae; Streptophyta; Magnoliopsida; Arecales; Arecaceae
Description: long non-coding RNA (EGUI_LNC035947)
Source: RNAcentral
GACCAAAGCAAGUAUGAAUACUGUAAAGAGUUUCUACAGGAUUCACAAGUGAACUCGAGUCGAGCCAAUCUGACAAAUGACUGACGAUGAGAUCUGAUGAGUUCUUCAUGACUCUAUCAAAUCGAAACUCACGAUAGAAGGACUGAAUCACAUAACUGCACCUAGAGAUUCAUACUUUCAUUCUACUGGAUUGCUACUACAU